This 415-nucleotide ribosomal RNA is filed under the name uncultured bacterium. RNAcentral describes it as "bacterial SSU rRNA". It matches the Rfam family "Bacterial small subunit ribosomal RNA", at positions 355 to 775 of the family's 1533-position model. The record is from RNAcentral.
UGAGGAAUUUUGCGCAAUGGGCGAAAGCCUGACGCAGCGACGCCGCGUGGAGGAAGACGGCCUUCGGGUUGUAAACUCCUGUCAGAGGUGAAGAACGCCCGCAAGGGCUUGACGGUAACCUCAGAGGAAGCCCCGGCUAACUACGUGCCAGCAGCCGCGGUGAUACGUAGGGGGCGAGCGCUGUCCGGAUUCACUGGGCGUAAAGGGUGUGUAGGCGGACCGGCCGGUCGAUGGUGAAAGCUCACGGCUCAACCGGGAAAGUGCUGUCGAUACUACCGGUCUAGAGGGCGGGAGAGGGAGCUGGAACUUCCGGUGUAGCGGUAAAAUGCGUAGAUAUCGGAAGGAACGCCAAUAGCGAAGGCAGGCUUCUGGAAUGUUCCUGACGCUGAAACACGAAAGCUAGGGGAGCAAACAG